AUGCCUUGAUGAGGGAACUUUCAUAAUAACUCCUUAACCGCUCCCAUGCCUCAUAUAAAGAUUCUUUAUCAAGUUUGUAACAGCCCGAUUCUGGGCCU
This is a non-coding RNA of Gossypium hirsutum (cotton), 98 nucleotides long. The record is from Rfam. NCBI's taxonomy places the organism in Eukaryota, Viridiplantae, Streptophyta, Magnoliopsida, Malvales, Malvaceae.